Molecule: ribosomal RNA, 497 nt
Filed under: uncultured bacterium
Lineage: Bacteria
Description: partial 16S ribosomal RNA
Rfam family: Bacterial small subunit ribosomal RNA
Source: RNAcentral
GAUGAACGCUGGCGGCGUGCCUAAUACAUGCAAGUCGAGCGAACAGACGAGGAUCUUGCUCCUCUGACGUUAGCGGCGGACGGGUGAGUAACACGUGGAUAACCUACCUAUAAGACUGGGAUAACUUCGGGAAACCGGAGCUAAUACCGGAUAAUAUAUUGAACCGCAUGGUUCAAUAGUGAAAGACGGUUUUGCUGUCACUUAUAGAUGGAUCCUCGCCGCAUUAGCUAGUUGGUAAGGUAACGGCUUACCAAGGCGACGAUGCGUAGCCGACCUGAGAGGGUGAUCAGCCACACUGGAACUGAGACACGGUCCAGACUCCUACGGGAGGCAGCAGUAGGGAAUCUUCCGCAAUGGGCGAAAGCCUGACGGAGCAACGCCGCGUGAGUGAUGAAGGUCUUCGGAUCGUAAAACUCUGUUAUUAGGGAAGAACAAAUGUGUAAGUAACUAUGCACGUCUUGACGGUACCUAAUCAGAAAGCAACGGCUAACUACGUG